AAAUUCCAAUCGAACGCGGAGAUAGCUGGUUCUCCCCGAAAUAGCUUUAGGGCUAGCCUGAGGUAGUAAGUAUAGGCGGUAGAGCACUGAUCGGGCUAGGGGCCGUAAAGGUUACCGAACCCUGUCAAACUCCGAAUGGAUAUACUGUAGAGCCUUGGAGUCAGACUACGAGUGAUAAGAUCCGUGGUCAAAAGGGAAACAGCCCAGACCACCAGCUAAGGUCCCCAAUGUCGUACUAAGUGGAAAAGGAUGUGGGGUUUCAUAAACAACCAGGAUGUUGGCUCAGAAGCAGCCACCAUUUAAAGAGUGCGUAAUAGCUCACUGGUCGAGAGACCCUGCGCCGAAGAUUCCCGGGGCUAAAGUACGAAACCGAAGCUGUGGCUGUAUACGUAAAGUAUACGGGGUAGGGGAGCGUUCCCAUAGGGUAGAAGUCGAACUGGAAGGUUCGGUGGACUUGUGGGAAGUGAGAAUGUUGGUAUGAGUAGCGAAAAGAAAGGUGAGAAUCCUUUCCACCGAAAGCAUAAGGAUUCCUGAGCAACGAUCGUCGUCUCAGGGUAAGUCGGGACCUAAUCCGAGGCAGAGAGCGUAGGAGAUGGACAACUGGUUGAUAUUCCAGUACCGGUAGUAAUUGUUUGAGCAAUGGAGUGACACAGAAGGGCAGGCAAGCAUGCGAAUGGAAGAGCAUGUGUAAGCGUGUAGGGUGGUGCAUAGGCAAAUCCGUGCACUGAAAGCCUGAGGCGUGAUGCGGAGUGAGCAGAGAUGCGAGCGAAGUUGUUGACCCCACACUGUCGAGAAAAGCUUCUAGUGAGAGAGCUACCGCCCGUACCGUAAACCGACACAGGUAUGCGGGGAGAGAAUCCUAAGGUGCGCGGGAGAACCCUCGUUAAGGAACUCGGCAAAAUGUACCCGUAACUUCGGGAUAAGGGUAGCCACUGUUGUGAAGUCCCAUGCGGAUGGAGCAUAGAGUGGUCGCAGAGAAGAGGCCCAAGCGACUGUUUACCAUAAACACAGGUGCCUGCUAAAGCGAAAGCUGACGUAUAGGUGCUGACACCUGCCCAGUGCCGGAAGGUUAAGGAAGGAUGUUCGGAUUAGUCCAAAGCAUUCGACUGAAGCCCCGGUGAACGGCGGCCGUAACUAUAACGGUCCUAAGGUAGCGAAAUUCCUUGUCGGGUAAGUUCCGACCCGCACGAAAGGCGU
Molecule: ribosomal RNA, 1197 nt
Filed under: Enterococcus raffinosus
Lineage: Bacteria; Bacillati; Bacillota; Bacilli; Lactobacillales; Enterococcaceae
Description: partial 23S ribosomal RNA
Rfam family: Bacterial large subunit ribosomal RNA
Source: RNAcentral